AAUGAACGUUGGCGGCGUGGAUUAGGCAUGCAAGUCGCGCGACAAGGAACCUUCGGGUUCUGGAGGAGCGGCAAACGGGGUAGUAAGGCAUCGGAACGUACCCUCUUGUUGGGAAUAGCCGCGGGAAACUGCGAGUAAUGCCCAAUAAUCCCUACGGGGCAAAGGUCCGCCGCAGGAGGAGCGGCCGAUGUGAUACCAGCUAGUUGGUGAGGUAAUGGCUCACCAAGGCUUAGACGUCUAGGGGGUGUGAGAGCAUGGCCCCCACCACUGGACGUNAGAUACUGCCCACGACACCUACCGGGUGGGCUGCAGUCGAGAAUCUUCGGCGAAUAGGGCGG
RNAcentral lists this ribosomal RNA (338 nucleotides) under uncultured bacterium. RNAcentral describes it as "bacterial SSU rRNA". It matches the Rfam family "Bacterial small subunit ribosomal RNA", at positions 29 to 380 of the family's 1533-position model. The record is from RNAcentral.